UCUGAUCCUUAUGCUUCCCACCUAUGAAAUAUGGAUGAUACCAAGCUCACAGAAAGUUGUGGAUUAAAUGAAGCAAAUAUGGAACUCCCCAGAGUAGUUCUUGAUAGAUAAUAAAUGCACUAAUUAACUUUACUUAUUUUCUUAGUAUAGCUAGACAGUGAGACGAGUUACCAAAGGUGUAUUUCUAAAAUGUGGAAAGGCCAACCUGAUUUUUCAGUUAACAAAUCUUUGCAAACAUAUAAUUUUCAGUGAGAACAUUAUCACUAUUAAAAAGGACACAGAAUUCUAAUUGACUAAAUGUAAAGUUUUAUUUUUUGAACAGUUGGACGGUAUUUCUCUUGGGAUAUAUUUAUUCUUUUAUAAGAAUUUUAUCAUUUACAUGUAAUAGAAACUGUUGGACUUAAUAGAAGACUUGAAAAAAAAACUGAUAAAUGAAAAAAAGGAAAAAUUAACCUUGGAAUUUAAAAUUCGAGAAGAAGUUACACAGGAGUUUACUCAGUAUUGGGCUCAACGGGAAGCUGACUUUAAGGAAACUCUGCUUCAAGAACGAGAGAUAUUAGAAGAAAAUGCUGAACGUCGUUUGGCUAUCUUCAAGGAUUUGGUUGGUAAAUGUGACACUCGAGAAGAACCAGCGAAAGACAUUUGUGCCACAAAAGUUGAAACUGAAGAAGCUACUGCUUGUUUAGAACUAAAGUUUAAUCAAAUUAAAGCUGAAUUAGCUAAAACCAAAGGAGAAUUAAUCAAAACCAAAGAAGAGUUAAAAAAGAGAGAAGAUGAAUCAGAUUCAUUGAUUCAAGAGCUUGAGACAUCUAAUAAGAAAAUAAUUACACAGAAUCAAAGAAUUAAAGAAUUGAUAAAUAUAAUUGAUCAAAAAGAAGAUACUAUCAACGAAUUUCAGAACCUAAAGUCUCAUAUGGAAAACACAUUUAAAUGCAAUGACAAGGCUGAUACAUCUUCUUUAAUAAUAAACAAUAAAUUGAUUUGUAAUGAAACAGUUGAAGUACCUAAGGACAGCAAAACUAAAAUCUGUUCAGAAAGAAAAAGAGUAAAUGAAAAUGAACUUCAGCAAGAUGAACCACCAGCAAAGAAAGGGUCUAUCCAUGUUAGUUCAGCUAUCACUGAAGACCAAAAGAAAAGUGAAGAAGUGCGACCGAACAUUGCAGAAAUUGAAGACAUCAGAGUUUUACAAGAAAAUAAUGAAGGACUGAGAGCAUUUUUACUCACUAUUGAGAAUGAACUUAAAAAUGAAAAGGAAGAAAAAGCAGAAUUAAAUAAACAGAUUGUUCGUUUUCAGCAGGAACUUUCUCUUUCUGAAAAAAAGAAUUUAACUUUAAGUAAAGAGGUCCAACAAAUUCAGUCAAAUUAUGAUAUUGCAAUUGCUGAAUUACAUGUGCAGAAAAGUAAAAAUCAAGAACAGGAGGAAAAGAUCAUGAAAUUGUCAAAUGAGAUAGAAACUGCUACAAGAAGCAUUACAAAUAAUGUUUCACAAAUAAAAUUAAUGCACACGAAAAUAGACGAACUACGUACUCUUGAUUCAGUUUCUCAGAUUUCAAACAUAGAUUUGCUCAAUCUCAGGGAUCUGUCAAAUGGUUCUGAGGAGGAUAAUUUGCCAAAUACACAGUUACACCUUUUAGGUAAUGAUUAUUUGGUAAGUAAGCAAGUUAAAGAAUAUCGAAUUCAAGAACCCAAUAGGGAAAAUUCUUUCCACUCUAGUAUUGAAGCUAUUUGGGAAGAAUGUAAAGAGAUUGUGAAGGCCUCUUCCAAAAAAAGUCAUCAGAUUGAGGAACUGGAACAACAAAUUGAAAAAUUGCAGGCAGAAGUAAAAGGCUAUAAGGAUGAAAACAAUAGACUAAAAGUAAAGGAGAAGGAGCAUAAAAACCAAGAUGACCUACUAAAAGAAAAAGAAACUCUUAUACAGCAGCUGAAAGAAGAAUUGCAAGAAAAAAAUGUUACUCUUGAUGUUCAAAUACAGCAUGUAGUUGAAGGAAAGAGAGCGCUUUCAGAACUUACACAAGGUGUUACUUGCUAUAAGGCAAAAAUAAAGGAACUUGAAACAAUUUUAGAGACUCAGAAAGUUGAACGUAGUCAUUCAGCCAAGUUAGAACAAGACAUUUUGGAAAAGGAAUCUAUCAUCUUAAAGCUAGAAAGAAAUUUGAAGGAAUUUCAAGAACAUCUUCAGGAUUCUGUCAAAAACACCAAAGAUUUAAGUGUAAAGGAACUCAAGCUGAAAGAAGAAAUCACACAAUUAACAAAUAAUUUGCAAGAUAUGAAGCAUUUACUUCAAUUAAAAGAAGAAGAAGAAGAAACCAACAGGCAAGAAACAGAAAAAUUGAAAGAGGAACUCUCUGCAAGCUCUGCUCGUACCCAGAAUCUGAAAGCAGAUCUUCAGAGGAAGGAAGAAGAUUAUGCUGACCUGAAAGAGAAACUGACUGAUGCCAAAAAGCAGAUUGAGCAAGUACAGAAAGAGGUAUCUGUAAUGCGUGAUGAGGAUAAAUUACUGAGGAUUAAAAUUAAUGAACUGGAGAAAAAGAAAAACCAGUGUUCUCAGGAAUUAGAUAUGAAACAGCGAACCAUUCAGCAACUCAAGGAGCAGUUAAAUAAUCAGAAAGUGGAAGAAGCUAUACAACAGUAUGAGAGAGCAUGCAAAGAUCUAAAUGUUAAAGAGAAAAUAAUUGAAGACAUGCGAAUGACACUAGAAGAACAGGAACAAACUCAGGUAGAACAGGAUCAAGUGCUUGAGGCUAAAUUAGAGGAAGUUGAAAGGCUGGCCACAGAAUUGGAAAAAUGGAAGGAAAAAUGCAAUGAUUUGGAAACCAAAAACAAUCAAAGGUCAAAUAAAGAACAUGAGAACAACACAGAUGUGCUUGGAAAGCUCACUAAUCUUCAAGAUGAGUUACAGGAGUCUGAACAGAAAUAUAAUGCUGAUAGAAAGAAAUGGUUAGAAGAAAAAAUGAUGCUUAUAACUCAAGCGAAAGAAGCAGAGAAUAUACGAAAUAAAGAGAUGAAAAAAUAUGCUGAGGACAGGGAGCGUUUUUUUAAGCAACAGAAUGAAAUGGAAAUACUGACAGCCCAGCUGACAGAGAAAGAUAGUGACCUUCAAAAGUGGCGAGAAGAACGAGAUCAACUGGUUGCAGCUUUAGAAAUACAGCUAAAAGCACUGAUAUCCAGUAAUGUACAGAAAGAUAAUGAAAUUGAACAACUAAAAAGGAUCAUAUCAGAGACUUCUAAAAUAGAAACACAAAUCAUGGAUAUCAAGCCCAAACGUAUUAGUUCAGCAGAUCCUGACAAACUUCAAACUGAACCUCUAUCGACAAGUUUUGAAAUUUCCAGAAAUAAAGUAGAGGAUGGAUCUGUAGUCCUUGACUCUUGUGAAGUGUCAACAGAAAAUGAUCAAAGCACUCGAUUUCCAAAACCUGAGUUAGAGAUUCAAUUUACACCUUUACAGCCAAACAAAAUGGCAGUGAAACACCCUGGUUGUACCACACCAGUGACAGUUAAGAUUCCCAAGGCUCGGAAGAGGAAGAGUAAUGAAAUGGAGGAGGACUUGGUGAAAUGUGAAAAUAAGAAGAAUGCUACACCCAGAACUAAUGUGAAAUUUCCUAUUUCAGAUGAUAGAAAUUCUUCUGUCAAAAAGGAACAAAAGGUUGCCAUACGUCCAUCAUCUAAGAAAACAUAUUCUUUACGGAGUCAGGCAUCCAUAAUUGGUGUAAACCUGGCCACUAAGAAAAAAGAAGGAACACUACAGAAAUUUGGAGACUUCUUACAACAUUCUCCCUCAAUUCUUCAAUCAAAAGCAAAGAAGAUAAUUGAAACAAUGAGCUCUUCAAAGCUCUCAAAUGUAGAAGCAAGUAAAGAAAAUGUUUCUCAACCAAAACGAGCCAAACGGAAAUUAUACACAAGUGAAAUUUCAUCUCCUAUUGAUAUAUCAGGCCAAGUGAUUUUAAUGGACCAGAAAAUGAAGGAGAGUGAUCACCAGAUUAUCAAACGACGACUUCGAACAAAAACAGCCAAAUAAAUCACUUAUGGAAAUGUUUAAUAUAAAUUUUAUAGUCAUAUUCAUUGGAACUUGCAUCCUGUAUUGUAAAUAUAAAUGUAUAUAUUAUGCAUUAAAUCACUCUGCAUAUAGAUUGCUGUUUUAUACAUAGUAUAAUUUUAAUUCAAUAAAUGAGUCAAAAUUUGUAUAUUUUUAUAAGGCUUUUUUAUAAUAGCUUCUUUCAAACUGUAUUUCCCUAUUAUCUCAGACAUUGGAUCAGUGAAGAUCCUAGGAAAGAGGCUGUUAUUCUCAUUUAUUUUGCUAUACAGGAUGUAAUAGGUCAGGUAUUUGGUUUACUUAUAUUUAACAAUGUCUUAUGAAUUUUUUUUUACUUUAUCUGUUAUACAACUGAUUUUACAUAUCUGUUUGGAUUAUAGCUAGGAUUUGGAGAAUAAGUGUGUACAGAUCACAAAACAUGUAUAUACAUUAUUUAGAAAAGAUCUCAAGUCUUUAAUUAGAAUGUCUCACUUAUUUUGUAAACAUUUUGUGGGUACAUAGUACAUGUAUAUAUUUACGGGGUAUGUGAGAUGUUUUGACACAGGCAUGCAAUGUGAAAUAUGUGUAUCAUGGAGAAUGAGGUAUCCAUCCCCUCAAGCAUUUUUCCUUUGAAUUACAAAUAAUCCAGUUACAUUCUUUAGAUCAUUUAAAAAUAUACAAGUAAGUUAUUAUUGAUUAUAGUCACUCUAUUGUGCUAUCAGAUAGUAAAUCAUUCUUUUUAUCUUAGUACCCAUUAACCAUCCCCACCUCCCCCUGCAACCGUCAGUACCCUUACCAGCCACUGGUAACCAUUCUUCUACUCUGUAUGCCCAUGAGGUCAAUUGAUUUUAUUUUUAGAUCCCAUAAAUAAAUGAGAACAUGCAGUCUU
Molecule: small RNA, 4898 nt
Filed under: Pan troglodytes (chimpanzee)
Lineage: Eukaryota; Metazoa; Chordata; Mammalia; Primates; Hominidae
Description: processed transcript
Source: RNAcentral